GGCUGUGUGGUCCAAUGGAUAGGCCACAUAACUGGGACUCAGAAGACUCAGGUUCGAUUCCUGACUCUGCGA
Molecule: transfer RNA, 72 nt
Filed under: Chelonia mydas (Green sea turtle)
Lineage: Eukaryota; Metazoa; Chordata; Testudines; Cheloniidae
Rfam family: tRNA
About the family: Transfer RNA (tRNA) molecules are approximately 80 nucleotides in length. Their secondary structure includes four short double-helical elements and three loops (D, anti-codon, and T loops).
Source: Rfam by way of RNAcentral